UGCCAGCAGCCGCGGUAAUACGGAGGGGGUUAGCGUUGUUCGGAAUUACUGGGCGUAAAGCGCACGUAGGCGGAUCGGAAAGUUGGGGGUGAAAUCCCAGGGCUCAACCCUGGAACUGCCUCCAAAACUAUCGGUCUAGAGUUCGAGAGAGGUGAGUGGAAUUCCAAGUGUAGAGGUGAAAUUCGUAGAUAUUUGGAGGAACACCAGUGGCGAAGGCGGCUCACUGGCUCGAUACUGACGCUGAGAUGCGAAAGCGUGGGUAGCAAACCGGAUUAGAUA
RNAcentral lists this ribosomal RNA (279 nucleotides) under uncultured bacterium. RNAcentral describes it as "partial 16S ribosomal RNA". It matches the Rfam family "Bacterial small subunit ribosomal RNA", at positions 506 to 784 of the family's 1533-position model. The record is from RNAcentral.